GGGGACGAAAGGAUUUCGACGGGGAUUUUGAACCGUGAUAAGCGAGCAGCGGCGAGGAACCGCUAUAAACUCCUCAAGUUUAGAAAUAAACGACAACAAUACAGUUUUACGCGCUGCCUAAUUUAAGGUAGCUGUUCCCCGGGGGAGUACUGCGGCCCCUGACGGAGCAUCAAGCAGCAGUAAAUGUGAACGGAUGAGCGUCCCGUAUUCCGUCACAGACAACGGGACUACCGAAGCUUAAAGCCUGCCGUCAGGCGUUUUGCAGAGGGAAUUACAAUUUAACGGCUACGCUCGUAGAAGGUUACGGUAAGAGGUUUUCGGACGCGGUUUCGACUACCGCCGUCUCCACCA
Molecule: transfer-messenger RNA, 351 nt
Filed under: Clostridiaceae bacterium
Lineage: Bacteria; Bacillati; Bacillota; Clostridia; Eubacteriales; Clostridiaceae
Rfam family: transfer-messenger RNA
About the family: Bacterial tmRNA, also known as 10Sa RNA or SsrA, is named for its dual tRNA and mRNA-like properties.
Source: RNAcentral